This 470-nucleotide ribosomal RNA is filed under the name uncultured bacterium. RNAcentral describes it as "bacterial SSU rRNA". It matches the Rfam family "Bacterial small subunit ribosomal RNA", at positions 36 to 507 of the family's 1533-position model. The record is from RNAcentral.
CUGGCGGCGUGCUUAACACAUGCAAGUCGAACGAAGCACUUUAUUACGAUUUCUUCGGAAUGACGAUUAGUGACUGAGUGGCGGACGGGUGAGUAACGCGUGGGUAACCUGCCUUAUACAGGGGGAUAACAGUUAGAAAUGACUGCUAAUACCGCAUAAGCGCACAGGAUUGCAUGAUCUGGUGUGAAAAACUCCGGUGGUCUGGGAUGGACCCGCGUCCGAUUAGUUAGUGGCGGGGUAACGGCCCACCAAGACCGCGAUCGGUAGCCGACCUGAGAGGGUGACCGGCCACAUUGGGACUGAGACACGGCCCAGACUCCUACGGGAGGCAGCAGUGGGGAAUAUUGCACAAUGGAGGAAACUCUGAUGCAGCGACGCCGCGUGAGCGAAGAAGUAUUUCGGUAUGUAAAGCUCUGUCAGCAGGGAAGAUAAUGACGGUACCUGACCAAGAAGCCCCGGCUAACUACGUG